Molecule: ribosomal RNA, 254 nt
Filed under: uncultured bacterium
Lineage: Bacteria
Description: partial 16S ribosomal RNA
Rfam family: Bacterial small subunit ribosomal RNA
Source: RNAcentral
CACGUAGGGGGCAAGCGUUGUCCGGAUUUAUUGGGCGUAAAGAGCUCGUAGGUGGUUCGGUAAGUCGGGUGUUAAACCCCCAGGCUCAACCUGGGGACGCCACUCGAUACUGCUGUGACUAGAGUCCGGUAGGGGAGCGUGGAAUUCCUGGUGUAGCGGUGAAAUGCGCAGAUAUCAGGAGGAACACCAGCGGCGAAGGCGGCGCUCUGGGCCGGUACUGACGCUGAGACGCGAAAGCGUGGGGAGCAAACAGG